Molecule: ribosomal RNA, 45 nt
Filed under: Rabelera holostea (greater stichwort)
Lineage: Eukaryota; Viridiplantae; Streptophyta; Magnoliopsida; Caryophyllales; Caryophyllaceae
Also listed under: 5 other names
Description: Stellaria holostea partial 28S ribosomal RNA
Source: RNAcentral
CCCAGGUCAGGCGGGGCUACCCGCUGAAUUUAAGCAUAUCAAUAA